CAAUAGCGUAUAUUAAAGUUGUUGCAGUUAAAAAGCUCGUAGUUGGAUUUCUGGUGGGAGCGAUCGGUCUGGCGCUUAGCGCGAGUACUUGCAUCGUCUCCGGCCAUCCUUGGGGAGAGUCUGUCUGGCAUUAAGUUGUAGGGCAGAGGAUCCUCAUCGUUUACUGUGAAAAAAUUAGAGUGUUCAAAGCAGGCUUAUGCCGUUGAAUAUAUUAGCAUGGAAUAAUAAGAUAGGACUUUGGUACUAUUUUGUUGGUUUGCGCACCAAAGUAAUGAUUAAUAGGGACAGUUGGGGGUAUUCGUAUUCCGUUGUCAGAGGUGAAAUUCUUGGAUUUACGGAAGACGAACUACUGCGAAAGCAUUUACCAAGGAUGUUUUCAUUAA
This 383-nucleotide ribosomal RNA is filed under the name uncultured eukaryote. Its description in RNAcentral is "partial 18S ribosomal RNA". It matches the Rfam family "Eukaryotic small subunit ribosomal RNA", at positions 592 to 976 of the family's 1831-position model. The record is from RNAcentral.